CACGUGGGGUCCGAGCGUUGUCCGGAAUUACUGGGCGUAAAGCGUGCGCAGGCGGUUGGGUCAGUCGCUGGUGAAAGCCCCACGCUCAACGUGGGAAUGGCCAACGAGACGGCCCGACUGGAGGCAGGGAGAGGCCGGUGGAAUUCCGGGUGUAGUGGUGAAAUGCGUAGAGAUCCGGAGGAACACCAGAGGCGAAGGCGGCCGGCUGGACCUGACCUGACGCUCAUGCACGAAAGCGUGGGGAGCAAACAGG
RNAcentral lists this ribosomal RNA (253 nucleotides) under uncultured bacterium. Its description in RNAcentral is "partial 16S ribosomal RNA". It matches the Rfam family "Bacterial small subunit ribosomal RNA", at positions 524 to 776 of the family's 1533-position model. The record is from RNAcentral.